Molecule: ribosomal RNA, 299 nt
Filed under: Clostridioides difficile
Lineage: Bacteria; Bacillati; Bacillota; Clostridia; Peptostreptococcales; Peptostreptococcaceae
Description: partial 23S ribosomal RNA
Rfam family: Bacterial large subunit ribosomal RNA
Source: RNAcentral
GGUCAAGUUAUUAAGGGUGCAGGGCGGAUGCCUUGGCACUAGGAGCCGAUGAAGGACGUGAUAAGCUGCGAUAAGCUUCGGGGAGUUGCACGUAAACUUUGAUCCGAAGAUUUCCGAAUGAGGAAACUCACUUAGAGUAAUGUCUAAGUAUCAUUAAGUGAAUACAUAGCUUAAUGAGGGGAACUCAGGGAACUGAAACAUCUAAGUACCUGAAGGAAGAGAAAGAAAUUCGAUUCCGUAAGUAGCGGCGAGCGAACGCGGAUUAGCCCAAACCAAUAAAGUUUUCUUUAUUGGGGUUG